GUAUGGAGCAAGCGUUAUCCGGAUUUAUUGGGUUUAAAGGGAGCGUAGAUGGAUGUUUAAGUCAGUUGUGAAAGUUUGCGGCUCAACCGUAAAAUUGCAGUUGAUACUGGAUAUCUUGAGUGCAGUUGAGGCAGGCGGAAUUCGUGGUGUAGCGGUGAAAUGCUUAGAUAUCACGAAGAACUCCGAUUGCGAAGGCAGCUCACUGGAGUGUAACUGACGCUGAUGCUCGAAAGUGUGGGUAUCAAACAGGAUUAGAUACCCUGGUAGUCCACACAGUAAACGAUGAAUACUCGCUGUUUGCGAUAUACAGUAAGCGGCCAAGCGAAAGCAUUAAGUAUUCCACCUGGGGAGU
RNAcentral lists this ribosomal RNA (352 nucleotides) under uncultured bacterium. RNAcentral describes it as "bacterial SSU rRNA". It matches the Rfam family "Bacterial small subunit ribosomal RNA", at positions 527 to 881 of the family's 1533-position model. The record is from RNAcentral.